ACGAACGCUGGCGGCGUGCUUAACACAUGCAAGUCGAACGGUGAAGCCUUUCGGGGUGGAUCAGUGGCGAACGGGUGAGUAACACGUGGGCAAUCUGCCCUGCAUUCUGGGACAAGCCUUGGAAACGAGGUCUAAUACCGGAUACGACGCAUCUCCGCAUGGGGUGUGCGUGGAAAGCUCCGGCGAUGCAGGAUGAGCCCGCGGCCUAUCAGCUUGUUGGUGGGGUAAUGGCCUACCAAGGCGACGACGGGUAGCCG
RNAcentral lists this ribosomal RNA (257 nucleotides) under Streptacidiphilus sp. ISOM404_OTU228. RNAcentral's name for it is "partial 16S ribosomal RNA". It matches the Rfam family "Bacterial small subunit ribosomal RNA", at positions 29 to 289 of the family's 1533-position model. The record is from RNAcentral. Lineage: Bacteria; Bacillati; Actinomycetota; Actinomycetes; Kitasatosporales; Streptomycetaceae.